AACGAACGCUGGCGGCAUGCCUAACACAUGCAAGUCGAACGAGACCUUCGGGUCUAGUGGCGCACGGGUGCGUAACACGUGGGAAUCUGCCCUUUGCUUCGGAAUAACAGUUAGAAAUGACUGCUAAUACCGGAUGAUGUCGAAAGACCAAAGAUUUAUCGGCAAAGGAUAAGCCCGCGUAGGAUUAGGUAGUUGGUGGGGUAAAGGCCUACCAAGCCGACGAUCCUUAGCUGGUCUGAGAGGAUGAUCAGCCACACUGGGACUGAGACACGGCCCAGACUCCUACGGGAGGCAGCAGUGGGGAAUAUUGGACAAUGGGCGAAAGCCUGAUCCAGCAAUGCCGCGUGAGUGAUGAAGGCCUUAGGGUUGUAAAGCUCUUUUACCAGGGAUGAUAAUGACAGUACCUGGAGAAUAAGCUCCGGCUAACUCCGUG
This 433-nucleotide ribosomal RNA is filed under the name uncultured bacterium. RNAcentral describes it as "partial 16S ribosomal RNA". It matches the Rfam family "Bacterial small subunit ribosomal RNA", at positions 29 to 507 of the family's 1533-position model. The record is from RNAcentral.